RNAcentral lists this ribosomal RNA (998 nucleotides) under uncultured bacterium. Its description in RNAcentral is "bacterial SSU rRNA". It matches the Rfam family "Bacterial small subunit ribosomal RNA", at positions 355 to 1375 of the family's 1533-position model. The record is from RNAcentral.
UGGGGAAUAUUGCGCAAUGGGGGAAACCCUGACGCAGCAACGCCGCGUGAUUGAAGAAGGCCUUCGGGUUGUAAAGAUCUUUAAUCAGGGACGAAACAAAUGACGGUACCUGAAGAAUAAGCUCCGGCUAACUACGUGCCAGCAGCCGCGGUAAUACGUAGGGAGCAAGCGUUAUCCGGAUUUACUGGGUGUAAAGGGCGCGCAGGCGGGCCGGUAAGUUGGAAGUGAAAUCUAUGGGCUCAACCCAUAAACUGCUUUCAAAACUGUUUUUCUUGAGUAGUGCAGAGGUAGGCGGAAUUCCCGGUGUAGCGGUGGAAUGCGUAGAUAUCGGGAGGAACACCAGUGGCGAAGGCGGCCUACUGGGCACCAACUGACGCUGAGGCUCGAAAGUGUGGGUAGCAAACAGGAUUAGAUACCCUGGUAGUCCACACCGUAAACGAUGAUUACUAGGUGUUGGAGGAUUGACCCCUUCAGUGCCGCAGUUAACACAAUAAGUAAUCCACCUGGGGAGUACGACCGCAAGGUUGAAACUCAAAGGAAUUGACGGGGGCCCGCACAAGCAGUGGAGUAUGUGGUUUAAUUCGACGCAACGCGAAGAACCUUACCAAGUCUUGACAUCCCUUGACAGGCAUAGAAAUAUGUUUUCUCUUCGGAGCAAGGAGACAGGUGGUGCAUGGUUGUCGUCAGCUCGUGUCGUGAGAUGUUGGGUUAAGUCCCGCAACGAGCGCAACCCUUAUGGUCAGUUACUACGCAAGAGGACUCUGGCCAGACUGCCGUUGACAAAACGGAGGAAGGUGGGGAUGACGUCAAAUCAUCAUGCCCUUUAUGACUUGGGCUACACACGUACUACAAUGGCGUUAAACAAAGAGAAGCAAGACCGCGAGGUGGAGCAAAACUCAGAAACAACGUCCCAGUUCGGACUGCAGGCUGCAACUCGCCUGCACGAAGUCGGAAUUGCUAGUAAUCGUGGAUCAGCAUGCCACGGUGAAUACGUUCCC